GACGAACGCUGGCGGCGUGCUUAACACAUGCAAGUCGAACGCUGAGGCCCUUUCGGGGGUGGAUGAGUGGCGAACGGGUGAGUAACACGUGGGUAAUCUGCCCUGCACUCUGGGAUAAGCCUUGGAAACGGGGUCUAAUACCGGAUAGGACACAUCGCCGCAUGGUGUGUGUGUGGAAAGUUCCGGCGGUGCAGGUUGAGCCCGCGGCCUAUCAGCUUGUUGGUGGGGUGAUGGCCUACCAAGGCGACGACGGGUAGCCGGCCUGAGAGGGUGACCGGCCACACUGGGACUGAGACACGGCCCAGACUCCUACGGGAGGCAGCAGUGGGGGAUGUUGCGCAAUGGGCGAAAGCCUGACGCAGCAACGCCGCGUGGGGGAUGACGGCCUUCGGGUUGUAAACCUCUUUCGACCGGGACGAAGGGUGACUGACGGUACCGGUAGAAGAAGCACCGGCUAACUACGUGCCAGCAGCCGCAGUAA
RNAcentral lists this ribosomal RNA (481 nucleotides) under uncultured bacterium. RNAcentral describes it as "partial 16S ribosomal RNA". It matches the Rfam family "Bacterial small subunit ribosomal RNA", at positions 28 to 523 of the family's 1533-position model. The record is from RNAcentral.